AGAAAGCUCCCUGUAACUAUUCUUUUCAGAAAACAUAUUGUGGGAGGUCUCAGGAGGUUGAAGGCCAUGGAGGGUCCUCUGUGCUGUGGCCCACUGAGCUUCUCUCUCUUCUUUGCCGUAGUCUUUCUUUGUAGUAAAGGCAGUCUGUUACAAGACGAUAGCGAAUGAGCAAAUAAGAAGGACACCGAGGCAGAGAAACAGACUCAGACUCGGGAUUUUGUUAUGAAAAAAUAUACCUUGUUCUCCAAGAGAUUAUCCCAAGCCUUCCCACUCAAAAUGUAGCGGAUUGCGAAUUUGAGGAUAUCAAGCGGCACAUAUGUCACCACGCUAAAUAGCCAGAUUACUCCAGCCCAUCCCCAGCCACACCCCUCAAUACGUGCAAAACCCCAAUUUGCAUAGACCGCUAUCAAUGUUGCGACCUGUCAUUCAAGAAUGGUUCAAGGCGAUGGGUUAGGUUUUGCUAAUAAUCUGAUCUGAUUCAUUUUCAGAAUAUAAGCAAAAUAUUUGACAUCCAGCAUGAGGAUCCCAAGAUUAUCAUUGGCAGAAGGUUAAUAAAGCACGUUACCAUGCUUUAGAAAACAUGAAGCAGCCAUAACAAAGUAAGCCUGGUAGGGAUGGUUGUUUAACAAAUAGUGAUAAAGCCGAUAGAAUAAAUCCUUACCAGCUGAGCAGCUACAAAUGCACCAAGGAGAAGGAAUCCAGGACGUUCAACAAAAGACCAGCUGCGAGAUCUUGUGACAAAAAUAAGUGCCUGGCUCACGAUACUCACUUGUAAAUACAAGGCUGCCAUCAUUUCCUUAUCGUUAUUUCUCAGUGACCUGA
RNAcentral lists this long non-coding RNA (822 nucleotides) under Populus trichocarpa (black cottonwood). Its description in RNAcentral is "long non-coding RNA (PTRI_LNC001902)". The record is from RNAcentral. Lineage: Eukaryota; Viridiplantae; Streptophyta; Magnoliopsida; Malpighiales; Salicaceae.